Molecule: long non-coding RNA, 4112 nt
Organism: Triticum aestivum (bread wheat)
Lineage: Eukaryota; Viridiplantae; Streptophyta; Magnoliopsida; Poales; Poaceae
Exons: 6
Source: RefSeq, a predicted model, not a curated record
CUCGGUAGCUGGCUAAAGAAUUCCCCAAUUUUAGGGCGUUCCUGAUCUGUCCCCUUUUUGGGCUGUAAUUUCAGAUUUCCGAGUCAUUAGAAGUUUUUAUUGAUAAUGCACAAGCUGUUUAUUUUAGAGGAAAAAAGAAAGGGCACCCAGCCCCGGCUCCAUUUUCCAUUAAAAUGAAACCAAACAUUCCAUAUAGCGCAUGAGCACGCAGCUGCAAGUCAAGCUCUGUUUUCAAGCUCCAGGCGCAAUCCUGAGCUAGAUGCCGUCUUCAAUCGAUCCGCGGGAGGAUUCCUCCGCAUGCUUUGCCUGCCCAACAAUGGAGGCUUCCCAUCCAGCGGCAUCUUCAGAAGCCGGCAAUCCUGACAGAGACGAAGGCCUCAACCGACGCCCCAUCAGCCCGGAUCCGGCCACAGCUGUAGAGUUGGGCUCAUGGCAAGCGCCCAGAGUGAAGCUGUGAUCUCCAGCACGCGCUCUUUUGCAGGGCCAGGGCCAGACCACAAGAUUGCCCACUGAGAGAACACUACUGCUAUGCCUCUCAGGAUCACCUGCACACCAGUCCAUGAACUUCUGUUAAAAACAGAGUUCAUUCCUAUAUUUCCACAGACUAUAGAGUUGCUGCAUGAAACUAGGUUGAUUGUCUGGUGUUUUUUGUGACUGAUCCACCACUUUGCAAUGUACCUCAAAGUUCACAGUAGUGUUAACCCAGUGAGGGUACUAAUAUUUCUCCGCACCUUAGUGGCUUUCUCCGCACCUUAGUGGCAACAGCACAGGCAAAGAAUGAGCGCAUACAGGCAUCUUCAUUACAGAAUAGGCAGGAUAAAUUGUCAAGAUUUUGCCUUUUAGCUAGGUUAUCUCUAGUGAGCAACUUAUUAUGAGGUAAAAGCCAAAGAAAAAUAUGGAUUUUAGGAGGAACAUUAAGUUGCCAAACAGCAGGAAUAUGAACAGGGACGACCCCCCUCACAACAGCAUAUAAAGACCGACAGAGUAAAUACCAUUGGAUUCAAGCUUCCAAAUCACAGCAUCGGCAUCAGUAUUAAGCCGAAUAGACUCAGCAAUAUGAACAAAGUCAAACCACUGGAGGAGCAAUCUGUUGUCCACACACCUUCUAAAAGUAAUCCUAAGGUUAACACCAUCCCAUGUAUCAGCAAUAGUGAUGUGGCUAUUGUACUAAUUACAGAAUAAUACACGGCCUGUAUGUGGCUAGUGUACUAAUUUAUAGUUUUUUUUUUCUAACUUAGGGUCCGUUUCGAUUGUUAAAAGUUUGUGUUAAUUGAGCUGAAACCUACUGUUCAUGGAGUUCAAAGCUCAGCUUCUUUCUCCUCCAACACGAAAUCUCAAAUUUCAUGGUUGAAAGUUCCUAUUCUGUCAGCUGGAAGUUGAAAUCAUGUCGCAUGAGUUUGCUGUUGAAAUCUUUUCUUUACUGAGUUGAAAGGUUUUUAAGACAAACAGGCAUAUGCCCUGCUUUAUACUACCUCCGUUUUGAAAACUGACGUGGUUUUAGUUCAAAUUUGAACUAAAGCCACGCCAGUUAUUUCCGAAUGGAGGGAAUACUAGAAAGCAAACUUUUUUUUUUUGGUCUUCUGGGACACCAGGACAUUCUUGCUCCUGAAGCAAACAGUAGCAAAACAAGAAAGCACACAACACCCAACUUAAGAAGGACCAACAAGCACUCCAACUGUCCCACAUAAGAUAGAGAUAAACUCAAAGCUCCCCACAACUCCAUACAAGUACUCCCUCCGUCCCAAAAUAAGUCUCAACUUUAGUACAACUUGUACUAAAGUUAGGACAAAGUUGAGACACUUAUUUUGGGACGGAGGGAGUAUCAUACAGAGCAGAAUCCUAGGCAUACCAAGAACACAAACCACUAAGCUGAAAGUUGUCACAUGGAGUGUUCUUUUUUUACCCAUUUUCUCCUACAGUGGCAGAUUGCGGGAGACAGAAGAGGAUGGAGUGAACAGGGAGCCAUCACACCUUUUCCGUUUUUAAGCCUGAACCAGUGAGUUUAAGUGCUUCUGAUAAAAUCCAAAAGAUGUUGGGACUCAUUCAUUCAAAGUUCACAAAUUAGGCUCCCUGUUUCUCACUCCAUCGUGUUCUCUGUCCCACGGUGGCCUCUUUAGCUCCCUCUAUUGUUGUUGUGUUCGAAAGAAGGGUGACGAUUUUUCUUGGGCCAUGGCUCCUUGUGUGAGAGGCGGUGGAGGAGGCAUGAGACCUCUCCGCCUGCCCCAUAUCAUACUCCUGUCCAGGUCACCCUGGAGACAUCGAUAUUUCUCGGUUCAAGUGUGCCUCAUGUCCACUCAAGCCUGUUGCUGACCUUCCAUCAUCCUGCAGCCCUGCAUCUCAUCAUCCUCUUCAGUUUAUAACUGAUGUUGGUUUGGCUGCCUCUCAUGCUGAAAGCAAGGUUUCACCUUGCCGACAGGCUGAUGGUUCUCCAAGUGCUGAAGUAAUGGGGCCAGAGGUUAGCCUUCCAGAGGAUAUCAUUUGGAAGAUACAUGCCCUUAUGGCUAUUCAAGAUGCCGCUCGUGCUGCCUGCUUGUCUCAUGAUUUUCUUCACUCUUGGAGAUGCUAUCCCAAGCUCAUAUUUGAUAUGAGAGCACUAGGCAAACAAACAAGGGAUUUUACCAAAUAGUUGACCACAUCAUGCGGAAUCACUCUGGCGUUGGGGUGAAGACAUUUAAAUUGCAAACUCGCGAUGAGUUCACUGUGCAUCCAAGUUAUCUUGAUCGCUGGCUGCAAGUGCAAUUACACCUGGGAUCAAAGAAUUUACGCUAGGGCUCCCCAUAAAUAGCAAGCUGAAAUAUAACUUUCCUGGUUCACUUCUAUCUCCUGAGGCAGCACACUCAAUCCAGUAUUUUCACAUCACUAGCUGUGCUUUUCAUUCUGUAGGCAAAGUUGGUCGCUUGAGUGGUUUGAAGACUCUUUGUCUGCAUGAUGUUGGUAUUACUGGGGAGGAGUUAUAUCUACUUCUGUCCAAUUCCUUCUUGUUAGAGCAUUUGGAUCUCGAGUCCUGCUACGAUAUACAUUGCUUAAAGAUACCACAUUUUUUGUCGAAGCUUAACAUCCUGGAAGUGCAAUGUUGCAAAAUGUUACAGAUGAUUGAAUGCAGUGCUCCAAACCUCUCCACCUUCAAUUAUGAUGGUCCCCUGAUACAUAUCUCGCUUGGAAGUUCAUUGCAAGUGAAGAAAAUGCAAAUGACAUGUGCCAUUGUGCCUAACCUGCUCCAUUAUGCUAGCGCCAAGCUUUCAUCCAUUGCACCAAAUGUCCAAACUCUUUUUUUAACUCACUUUAUGAGACAGUCAAUACACCUAUGGUGCUGGGUAAAUUUCUGCACCUCAAGUAUUUGGAGAUAAAACUUUUCAUGCCAACUCGUUCUCCAGGUUACGACUUCUGUUCUUUGGUUUCUUUUCUUGAUGCUUCUCCCACCUUGAGGACUUUCGUCUUGCGUGUAGAGGCUCCUACCAUGGAAGGUGGUUUAAUUCCUGGAGUCAAUAUGGACGAAGAUUUCUCGUUGGCAAGUUGUGUUCCGAAACACCGACAUCGCAAGCUUAAGAGUGUGUUCAUCACUGGCUUUUGCCCCUGGAAGACAAUGAUUGAGCUAACGAGAUGUAUUCUUGAUUAUGCAACGUCACUGAAGCACCUUACCCUGGACACUACUCGUGGAUAUCAUAGGAGGAGGUGGGGCAACUGUUUCCCUUUGGGUAGGGAUACAAUUAUGGAAGCCCGAAAGGCUAUUGCGGCUAUCAAGACAUACAUAGAGGGGAAAGUACCUCCAAAGAUCAAGUUUAAGGUUCUUGAGCCCUGCAACUGCAAUAAGUGUCAAGAAUGUUGAGUUAUAUUAUCGUAAUAUGGUUAUGUUAUGAAUAUAGCUUAGAGCCCCUAAAAAAAGUGUAAUCUAUUCGAUGACAUCUCUACUACUCCCUCCGAUCCAUAUUACUUGUCUUAGAUUUGUCUAGAUACGGAUGUAUCUAGACACGUCGGAGGGAGUAUUAAAUUGGAGUUGGUCCUUGCAUGUUUGCCUCCACCCCCUCCAGUACGUCUAGGACAUUCCUAGUUUUAACUACAUACAUACACAUAAUGAACUCAAAACAUUUCACAUAUUUACUACUUAUUUUUCC